RNAcentral lists this transfer RNA (76 nucleotides) under Hyphomicrobiaceae bacterium TMED74. Its description in RNAcentral is "tRNA-Leu". It matches the Rfam family "tRNA". From Rfam's summary of the family: Transfer RNA (tRNA) molecules are approximately 80 nucleotides in length. Their secondary structure includes four short double-helical elements and three loops (D, anti-codon, and T loops). The record is from RNAcentral. RNAcentral also lists the same sequence under 1 other name. Lineage: Bacteria; Pseudomonadati; Pseudomonadota; Alphaproteobacteria; Hyphomicrobiales; Hyphomicrobiaceae.
UAACGACUAGCUCAGUGGGUAGAGCACCAGACCAAGAAUCUGGCUGUCAUGGGUUCGACUCCCAUGUCGUUUGCCA